This 253-nucleotide ribosomal RNA is filed under the name uncultured bacterium. Its description in RNAcentral is "partial 16S ribosomal RNA". It matches the Rfam family "Bacterial small subunit ribosomal RNA", at positions 524 to 776 of the family's 1533-position model. The record is from RNAcentral.
UACGUAGGGUGCAAGCGUUAUUCGGAAUUACUGGGCGUAAAGCGUGCGCAGGCGGCUUUGCAAGUCAGAUGUGAAAUCCCCGGGCUUAACCUGGGAACUGCAUUUGUGACUGCAUGGCUGGAGUGCGGCAGAGGGGGAUGGAAUUCCGCGUGUAGCAGUGAAAUGCGUAGAUAUGCGGAGGAACACCGAUGGCGAAGGCAAUCCCCUGGGCCUGCACUGACGCUCAUGCACGAAAGCGUGGGGAGCAAACAGG